GUCCACGCCGUAAACGUUGGGCACUAGGUGUGGGACUCUAUCGACGGGUUCCGUGCCGUAGCUAACGCAUUAAGUGCCCCGCCUGGGUAGUACGGCCGCAAGGCUAAAACUCAAAGGAAUUGACGGGGGCCCGCACAAGCGGCGGAGCGUGUGGCUCAAUUCGAUGCAACGCGAAGAACCUUACCUGGGCUUGACAUGUACGGAAAAGCCGGUGAAAGCCGGUGUGCUUCGGCGUCGUACACAGGUGGUGCAUGGCUGUCGU
This 262-nucleotide ribosomal RNA is filed under the name uncultured bacterium. Its description in RNAcentral is "partial 16S ribosomal RNA". It matches the Rfam family "Bacterial small subunit ribosomal RNA", at positions 793 to 1055 of the family's 1533-position model. The record is from RNAcentral.